GACGAACGCUGGCGGCGUGCUUAACACAUGCAAGUCGAACGGAAAGGCCCCUUUGGGGGUACUCGAGUGGCGAACGGGUGAGUAACACGUGAGUAACCUGCCCUUGACUUCGGGAUAACUUCAGGAAACUGGGGCUAAUACCGGCUAGGAAUCCUUGCUGCAUGGUGGGGGUUGGAAAGCUUCGGCGGUUUUGGAUGGACUCGCGGCUUAUCAGCUUGUUGGUGGGGUAGUGGCUUACCAAGGCUUUGACGGGUAGCCGGCCUGGGAGGGCGACCGGCCACAUUGGGACUGAGAUACGGCCCAGACGCCUACGGGAGGCAGCAGUGGGGAAUAUUGCACAAUGGGCGGAAGCCUGAUGCAGCAACGCCGCGGGCGGGAUGACGGCCUUCGGGUUGUAAACCGCUUUCAGCAGGGGCGAAGCUUGUGGUGACGGUACCUGCAGAAGAAGCACCGGCUAACUACGUG
RNAcentral lists this ribosomal RNA (465 nucleotides) under uncultured bacterium. Its description in RNAcentral is "partial 16S ribosomal RNA". It matches the Rfam family "Bacterial small subunit ribosomal RNA", at positions 28 to 507 of the family's 1533-position model. The record is from RNAcentral.